CCUACGGGAGGCAGCAGUGGGGAAUCUUGCGCAAUGGGCGAAAGCCUGACGCAGCCAUGCCGCGUGAAUGAUGAAGGUCUUAGGAUUGUAAAAUUCUUUCAGUAGGGACGAUAAUGACGGUACCUACAGAAGAAGCCCCGGCUAACUUCGUGCCAGCAGCCGCGGUAAUACGAAGGGGGCUAGCGUUGCUCGGAAUUACUGGGCGUAAAGGGAGCGUAGGCGGGUUAUCAAGUUGGAGGUGAAAGCCCAGGGCUCAACCUUGGAAUUGCCUUCAAAACUGAUAGCCUAGAGUAUGAUAGAGGUAAGUGGAACUCCGAGUGUAGAGGUGAAAUUCGUAGAUAUUCGGAAGAACACCAGUGGCGAAGGCGACUUACUGGAUCAUGACUGACGCUGAGGCUCGAAAGCGUGGGGAGCAAACAGGAUUAGAUACCCUGGUAGUCCACGCUGUAAACGAUGAUUGCUAGUUGUCGGACGGCAUGCCGUUCGGUGACGCAGCUAACGCAUUAAGCAAUCCGCCUGGGGAUACGGUCGCAAGAUUAAAACUUAAAGGAAUUGACGG
RNAcentral lists this ribosomal RNA (559 nucleotides) under uncultured bacterium. RNAcentral describes it as "bacterial SSU rRNA". It matches the Rfam family "Bacterial small subunit ribosomal RNA", at positions 338 to 916 of the family's 1533-position model. The record is from RNAcentral.